UAACAACCAUUGUAGCGAGCAGUUUGAGAUGCACUGACACACGAAAACGGCUGUGAACAAAGAGCAAUAUAAAUUAACACUAACGAUUGCACUAUUUACAAAUGUAGCAACAAAAACAAAUUUAAAAUUACUCGGUGGAAUAAAUUAAAAUUAGCCAACACGCAAUUAAACACUGAUAUCUGCAAAAACAAUUGAUGCACCACUGCUCUUUAUUCCAUUUGUCCGUUAUUAAACAAGUCACUACAUCUAUUGAAUAUGGAUACAGAUGAAGAUGAAAUCUUUGAUAAUUUGCAAUAUGCGAAAAUAUAUCCAAUAUGUCUGCAGAACCAACACCAACGCCAGAUAAAAAGAGAAAGCGUUUUCAAGUUACAACGGCAUGGUCCUCGGAAGAUGUUUUUAAUUAAAUAGAAAUAAUAGAAAAACAUCCUUGUCUGUGGGAAUAUUCUUCAUCAAACUAUAAAAACCGACAGAAGAGAGAGAACGCAUGGAGAGAAGUUGCAGCGAACUGUCAUGGCCGUAGCGUUGAU
Bactrocera neohumeralis is the source of this 527-nucleotide long non-coding RNA. RefSeq lists it as uncharacterized. The transcript is spliced from 3 exons. The record is from RefSeq and is a predicted model, not a curated record. NCBI's taxonomy places the organism in Eukaryota, Metazoa, Arthropoda, Insecta, Diptera, Tephritidae.